AUUGGAUCCAGACUUUGAUUCUGGCUCAGGAUGAACGCUAGCUACAGGCUUAACACAUGCAAGUCGAGGGGAAACGAUAUUGGAAGCUUGCUUCCGAUAGGCGUCGACCGGCGCACGGGUGAGUAACGCGUAUCCAACCUGCCCAUCACUUGGGGAUAACCUUGCGAAAGUAAGACUAAUACCCAGUGACGUCUCUAGAAGACAUCUGAAAGAGAUUAAAGAUUUAUCGGUGAUGGAUGGGGAUGCGUCUGAUUAGCUUGUUGGCGGGGUAACGGCCCACCAAGGCGACGAUCAGUAGGGGUUCUGAGAGGAAGGUCCCCCACAUUGGAACUGAGACACGGUCCAAACUCCUACGGGAGGCAGCAGUGAGGAAUAUUGGUCAAUGGUCGAGAGUCUGAACCAGCCAAGUAGCGUGCAGGAAGACGGCCCUAUGGGUUGUAAACUGCUUUUAUAAGGGAAUAAAGUGAGUCUCGUGAGACUUUUUGCAUGUACCUUAUGAAUAA
Molecule: ribosomal RNA, 503 nt
Filed under: uncultured organism
Description: bacterial SSU rRNA
Rfam family: Bacterial small subunit ribosomal RNA
Source: RNAcentral